This 446-nucleotide ribosomal RNA is filed under the name uncultured bacterium. Its description in RNAcentral is "bacterial SSU rRNA". It matches the Rfam family "Bacterial small subunit ribosomal RNA", at positions 329 to 792 of the family's 1533-position model. The record is from RNAcentral.
UGCCAGACUCCUACGGGAGGCAGCAGUGGGGAAUAUUGCACAAUGGGGGAAACCCUGAUGCAGCGACGCCGCGUGAGCGAUGAAGUAUUUCGGUAUGUAAAGCUCUAUCAGCAGGGAAGAAGAUGACGGUACCUGACUAAGAAGCCCCGGCUAACUACGUGCCAGCAGCCGCGGUAAUACGUAGGGGGCAAGCGUUAUCCGGAUUUACUGGGUGUAAAGGGAGCGUAGACGGCGAUGCAAGCCAGAUGUGAAAGCCCGGGGCUCAACCCCGGGACUGCAUUUGGAACUGUGUGGCUGGAGUGUCGGAGAGGCAGGCGGAAUUCCUAGUGUAGCGGUGAAAUGCGUAGAUAUUAGGAGGAACACCAGUGGCGAAGGCGGCCUGCUGGACGAUGACUGACGUUGAGGCUCGAAAGCGUGGGGAGCAAACAGGAUUAGAUACCCUAGUA